This 73-nucleotide transfer RNA is filed under the name Canis lupus familiaris (dog). It matches the Rfam family "tRNA". From Rfam's summary of the family: Transfer RNA (tRNA) molecules are approximately 80 nucleotides in length. Their secondary structure includes four short double-helical elements and three loops (D, anti-codon, and T loops). Lineage: Eukaryota; Metazoa; Chordata; Mammalia; Carnivora; Canidae. The record is from Rfam by way of RNAcentral. RNAcentral also lists the same sequence under 2 other names.
GCCUGGUUGGCUCAGUCAGUAGAGCAUGCAACUCUGGAUCUCAGGGUUGUGAGUUCGAGUCCCACAUUGGUUG